Molecule: ribosomal RNA, 118 nt
Filed under: Lepisosteus oculatus (spotted gar)
Lineage: Eukaryota; Metazoa; Chordata; Actinopteri; Semionotiformes; Lepisosteidae
Source: RNAcentral
GCCAGCAGCUAUAUCAUCCUGCAGUUCACAACUGGCAGCCCACUGAAGCUCAGCAGGUGUGAGCCUGACCAGUACAUGGAUGGGAGACCUCCUGGGAAGGGGGAGGUUGCUGCUGAAA